GAUGAACGCUGGCGGCGUGCUUAACACAUGCAAGUCGAACGGAAAGGCCAGUGCUUGCGCUGGUACUCGAGUGGCGAACGGGUGAGUAACACGUGGGUGAUCUGCCCUGCACUUCGGGAUAAGCUUGGGAAACUGGGUCUAAUACCGGAUAGGACCAUUGGUUGGUGCCUUUGGUGGAAAGUUUUUCGGUGUGGGAUGAGCUCGCGGCCUAUCAGCUUGUUGGUGGGGUAAUGGCCUACCAAGGCGUCGACGGGUAGCCGGCCUGAGAGGGCGUACGGCCACAUUGGGACUGAGAUACGGCCCAGACCCCUACGGGAGGCAGCAGUGGGGAAUAUUGCACAAUGGGCGCAAGCCUGAUGCAGCGACGCCGCGUGGGGGAUGACGGCC
This 387-nucleotide ribosomal RNA is filed under the name uncultured bacterium. RNAcentral describes it as "bacterial SSU rRNA". It matches the Rfam family "Bacterial small subunit ribosomal RNA", at positions 28 to 416 of the family's 1533-position model. The record is from RNAcentral.